Molecule: ribosomal RNA, 374 nt
Filed under: uncultured prokaryote
Description: bacterial SSU rRNA
Rfam family: Bacterial small subunit ribosomal RNA
Source: RNAcentral
UACAGAGGGUGCAAGCGUUGCUCGGAUUUACUGGGCGUAAAGCGUGCGCAGACGGCUGAGCAAGUUGGACGUGAAAUCCUGGGGCUCAACUCCAGAAUUGCGUUCAAAACUACUCGGCUCGAGUAUGGGAGAGGGAAGUGGAAUUCCUGGUGUAGAGGUGAAAUUCGUAGAUAUCAGGAGGAACACCAGCGGCGAAGGCGGCUUCCUGGCCCAUUACUGACGUUCAGGCACGAAAGCGUGGGGAGCAAACAGGAUUAGAUACCCUGGUAGUCCACGCUGUAAACGAUGCAUACUAGCUGUCGGGGGUAUAAACUCCUUCGGUAGCAUAGUUAAGGGGUAAAGUAUGCCGCUUGGGGAGUACGGCGGAAGGGUUG